Molecule: long non-coding RNA, 2224 nt
Organism: Megalops cyprinoides (Indo-Pacific tarpon)
Lineage: Eukaryota; Metazoa; Chordata; Actinopteri; Elopiformes; Megalopidae
Exons: 3
Source: RefSeq, a predicted model, not a curated record
UAGUAUGUUUUAAGGGAAAUAUGGAUUUGUGUGGAAUCUCUCCAAACUGUAUAUAUUGACAGUGAAAUCACUAUAGAAAUUUAGAGGCCGAUGUAAGGAAAAGAACAGAUGUGCAGAUACUGAAUUAACAGUUUUUUUCUGUUUUUCCUAAUUUUGUCCUUUUUUUAUAGCUUUCAAAGUAUCAUUCCUGUCUCCAGGAUGACCCAAAGGUGCACUUCUGUCUCCAGAGGACCCACAUUUCAUAGACGAAGACGUCAGGAGUGAGAAAAAAUCUGUUGAAGUUCAAAGAGUCAGUUGAAUUUUGCGAAAAUUAAGGUGCUGUGGAAGCCGGGCUUGUGUUGCCUGUCGUGGAGCAGUGCAGCUGCUGUCUUACAGAAGCACCCCCCCCUUACCACCACCACCACCGCCGCCGGCCCUCCCCAGCUCCUGCGUCCACGGCAACCCCCGCGGUGACGGAUCGUCCUGCCCGAGUGCUCCCAGCAGCCCCUGUCACAUCGCAUUUGCAUAAGAGACGAUGGAUAACCAAAUCAGACCGUGGCAAUGAAGUCGUUCUGCGCACCAACCUGUCACAGUUGUUGCUCAGCUAAUUGUGAAAAAUUUGAUUUGCGCCUCUUUCACAGUUUAUUACGGGGGUUCUGCUGCAACCCCCCCCCCAACCCUCGGCCCCCUGAAUUUGCCUUCACCAUUCUUGCCCUGCGUGUGGCUUUUAAGCUCAAAGUACCUCAGCCCUCUCCCUUGGGUUUACUUACUGCAGCCCACCAGCUGUUAAUGCACAGUCAUCUGCGUGCUCCGUUAUGCCCACUUCGCCUCUGAAUGCACAAUUAAGAAAACGGAGGAACACAAUGCAAUUUGCUCCUUUGUUUAAACAUGCAGGACGUCCCCAAAGCUUGGUCUCUCCCCCGAUUUGUCAUCGGAGCUCUCAUGGAAUACCGGGGUAAUGGGUUCAAGGUGGCGGAUGCUGGUGUCUGAAAUGUGAGAAUUAUUGUGGAAAGACAGUAUGGCUGCUUAGACAGAAAUUUUGAGAAUGGGUUUCAAAAUUGUUUUUCUUUAACCGGUUAUAUGUGUAUGCUGAUGCACCUGAGCUUGCUGGCAUAGCUGAAUGCGGUGGUGUACCUAAGCUUGCUGGCGUGGCUGAAUGCGCUAGUGUACCUGAAAGUGCUGGUGUACCUUAGCUUGCUGGCCGAGCUCGAUGCACUGGCGUACCUGAAUGUGCUGGACUGUUUUCCCCUUUCAGGAAAUGGAUGUCCUGGUAUCAAGGAGAAAUCAAAACCUCACCUCGACUUUCUGCUCAGAUUGUCAGGCAAAGUUUCUGCUGCGUGAUUUGAAUUUGGAAUAAUUAGAACAAUGGACUUGACAGGAUGCACUGAAAAUUGAUCAAAUUCUGAAUCAACGAUGACACACUGUCAAUGUCAAAUUGUCUAUAUAUGUGUGUGUAUGUAUGAUUUUUAUAUAUAAAGCAAAUGUCUAGAUUUUAAAAUGGCCAUGCCUGGAAAGGAACUUGUAAAAGAAUCACACAAUCACUGCAAACCCCUGUUAAGACUUAAAUAAAACUGUAUACAGCUCUAUUUAUCUUGAAGACUGCCUGAAUAAGGAAACCUCAGAGGUUUUACUUAUGAAGAGAGACUGGAUUAAUAAAUAAAAAUUUGAAAUUGAAUCAGGAAUUGAAACCUGAUUUCACUCAAUAGACCUAAUGAACAGCAUUAAAGAAGAGCAUUUAACUGUUCAGUUCAGCUCAUAUCUGCCUAUGGAGUGAAAACAUUAAGGCAAAUACUACCUUCUGAGCAUACCUGUUCAGUUUCAUUUUUACAUAUUUGAAUAGCUGUGAUGGCCUGUAUGCGGAGCAUCCCUUAAAAUGGAUUGAUGUUUGUUUUAUUCGUCCCUUCUCCUCCUUCGAUGAGCAAAAGUUCAGACUCUUUAAUGGGAGGGAUUUAUUUUGAGUAGUUAAUCCCUCCCUGAAGACAGCAAUGAGGUUAGUUAGCCUCCAGCAGAAUCUGGAAGGUAAAGGGAAGGGGUCUCCGCACAGUGUGAACUAGGACUGCAUGGGCUAAUAAGUUUAUAUUUCCUGCCUCAUUUGUUAAAAUCCCCCGAAUUCCUAAUUUGUGUCACCAAGACAAAUGGAUGUGAGAUAUUGUAAUGUGUGAAAUUAAUACUGAUGGAUGGCUCAUUUUCGCCCACCUUUUAAAUUGUUUGAUUCUGUAUGUUGUAUAACAUGAAAGAUGCACAG